RNAcentral lists this ribosomal RNA (253 nucleotides) under uncultured bacterium. Its description in RNAcentral is "partial 16S ribosomal RNA". It matches the Rfam family "Bacterial small subunit ribosomal RNA", at positions 524 to 776 of the family's 1533-position model. The record is from RNAcentral.
UACGAAGGGUGCAAGCGUUGUUCGGAAUUACUGGGCGUAAAGCGUGCGUAGGCGGUUUAGUAAGUUGGAAGUGAAAUCCCGGGGCUCAACUUCGGAAUUGCUUUCAAAACUACUAAUCUAGAAUAUGGCAGGGGACAGUGGAAUUCCUAGUGUAGAGGUGAAAUUCGUAGAUAUUAGGAGGAACACCAGUGGCGAAAGCGACUGUCUGGACCAUUAUUGACGCUGAGGCACGAAAGCGUGGGGAGCAAACAGG